GUGACAGCCGCCGCGGUAAUACGGAGGAUCCAAGCGUUAUCCGGAAUCAUUGGGUUUAAAGGGUCCGUAGGCGGUUUAAUAAGUCUGAUGUGAAAUCUCUGAGCUCAACUCAGAAUGGCAUUGGAUACUAUUCGGCUAGAGAGUCGGAGGGGGGACUGGAAUACUUGGUGUAGCAGUGAAAUGCGUAGAUAUCAAGUGGAACACCAGUGGCGAAGGCGAGUCCCUGGACGACUUCUGACACUGAGGCACGAAAGCUAGGGGAGC
RNAcentral lists this ribosomal RNA (264 nucleotides) under unidentified soil organism R6-101. RNAcentral describes it as "partial 16S ribosomal RNA". It matches the Rfam family "Bacterial small subunit ribosomal RNA", at positions 505 to 769 of the family's 1533-position model. The record is from RNAcentral.